RNAcentral lists this ribosomal RNA (302 nucleotides) under uncultured bacterium. Its description in RNAcentral is "partial 16S ribosomal RNA". It matches the Rfam family "Bacterial small subunit ribosomal RNA", at positions 508 to 807 of the family's 1533-position model. The record is from RNAcentral.
GCAGUCGCCGCGGUAAUACAGAGGGUGCGAGCGUUAAUCGGAUUUACUGGGCGUAAAGCGUGCGUAGGCGGCUUCUUAAGUCGGAUGUGAAAUCCCUGAGCUUAACUUAGGAAUUGCAUUCGAUACUGGGAAGCUAGAGUAUGGGAGAGGAUGGUAGAAUUCCAGGUGUAGCGGUGAAAUGCGUAGAGAUCUGGAGGAAUACCGAUGGCGAAGGCAGCCAUCUGGCCUAAUACUGACGCUGAGGUACGAAAGCAUGGGGAGCAAACAGGAUUAGAUACCCCAGUAGUCCCUGUCUCUUAUAC